Molecule: ribosomal RNA, 497 nt
Filed under: uncultured bacterium
Lineage: Bacteria
Description: partial 16S ribosomal RNA
Rfam family: Bacterial small subunit ribosomal RNA
Source: RNAcentral
GAUGAACGCUGGCGGCGUGCCUAAUACAUGCAAGUCGAGCGAACAGAUGAGGAGCUUGCUCCUCUGACGUUAGCGGCGGACGGGUGAGUAACACGUGGAUAACCUACCUAUAAGACUGGGAUAACUUCGGGAAACCGGAGCUAAUACCGGAUAAUAUAUUGAACCGCAUGGUUCAAUAGUGAAAGACGGUUUUGCUGUCACUUAUAGAUGGAUCCGCGCCGUAUUAGCUAGUUGGUAAGGUAACGGCUUACCAAGGCAACGAUGCGUAGCCGACCUGAGAGGGUGAUCGGCGACACUGGAACUGAGACACGGUCCAGAAUCCUACGAGAGGCAGCAGUAGGGAAUCUUCCGCAAUGGGCGAAAGCAUGACGGAGCAACGCCGCGUGAGUGAUGAAGGUCUUCGGAUCGUAAAACUCUGUUAUUAGGGAAGAACAAAUGUGUAAGUAACUAUGCACGUCUUGACGGUACCUAAUCAGAAAGCCACGGCUAACUACGUG